AAGUCGUAACAAGGUUUCCGUAGGUGAACCUGCGGAAGGAUCAUUAUUGAAUUAGCGAGGGCUGUCUGCUGGCCCCUUCGGGGGCAUGUGCACGUCCGAGCCGUUUAAAUCAACACCUGUGAACUCACCGUAGGCCUUCGGGCUUAUGUAUCAUAAUAUACUCAGAUCAUAGAAUGUACGUUUUGCCUUUAAAAAAGCAAUCAAAUACAACUUUCAACAACGGAUCUCUUGGCUCUC
This 237-nucleotide unclassified non-coding RNA is filed under the name Tylospora sp. RNAcentral's name for it is "partial internal transcribed spacer region". The stretch from base 1 to 46 matches the Rfam family "Eukaryotic small subunit ribosomal RNA", at positions 1786 to 1831 of the family's 1831-position model. Lineage: Eukaryota; Fungi; Basidiomycota; Agaricomycetes; Atheliales; Atheliaceae. The record is from RNAcentral.